RNAcentral lists this long non-coding RNA (3480 nucleotides) under Scophthalmus maximus (turbot). RNAcentral describes it as "lncRNA (ENSSMAG00000025134.1)". Lineage: Eukaryota; Metazoa; Chordata; Actinopteri; Pleuronectiformes; Scophthalmidae. The record is from RNAcentral.
CUGUAAGUGUGUAUUACAUCUAAUAGAGCUGUUUUAAUGAAGACGGGUGAGCAUCUGUCUCUCCAUAAACGAUCUUUGUUGUGCGACGUAAUGUCGUGAGACCUUCGAACAGACUCAACUUAAAGCAUAGAGGCCUGUAUCUCAGCAGCGCAUUGGUCAAGCUGGGUGAUUGACACGUCUGUAGAACCGUCAGAGCCAGUGGAAUCGACGGGGAGCGUCAAAGUCCCUCCCAAGGACACCGUUCGCUAUUUGUGAGGGGGCGAACCCACUAUGACACCUUUUUUCCCCGACGCCAUUUGACUUGCGACUUCCGCAUGUGUAGUCGAAGUAGGACGGACCAGGCGGAUUAACAUCUUGAGAUGACGAGGCGGUCUUUGUGCUAAGCUAACGGGCAUUGGAUUUAUGGAUCAAAACACAACUUUUCCUGCAAAUACUUUGACGGAGAGGGUGACAUGCAGGCCUGUCAAGGAUAUUCCAAAGGAAACCCGCAUGUGCCAGGAUUUAAUCAGGAGUUGGUUGCGAGCACUUUCCCCUGGACGGCAGCUUAUCAGCAGAGUUUAGCAUCGUGGCAAAGGGAAACGGGGCGGAAGCUUCCACGCUAAAUGAGAACCAGACGUUCAGCAGACCCAAUCAAGCCGCCCCUCCGCCGAACGAGCCGCAUUGUGUGAUGGGUAAACAGCGAGUCUGGAUGUUGCCUGCGGGGAUCGAGCCCCGUGACAAACCGAUGUCUGAGGAGGAGGAACAGACCUUUCAGGACUUCAAAAACGCAUCUGCAGCAGGGCUGCCAGGACACGUCGGCAGGAAUCACAAAUCCAGCUUCAGUAAUGCUACUCUGUACGUUCUGUACACAAAAGCCCUCAGAGUGACCAUCCGUGUCAGGAGGAGGGAAGCUGUUUUGUUAAGUGUGGCGCAGAGUCACAAUCCCAUUGAGCUGGUGCAAGAACCCUCGAAUGUGCUUGCAUAGUUGUGAGUGCGUCUGUUUCCCCCUACCCAGCCAUGUGCUUUGGAGAACCCUCAGAGACAAAACCACACAUUGGAGCUGUAGCAGGGGGUAGAUGAAGAAGACGAGGAAGGCUCCAGAAUAAGCUCUGCCGGCGCUCCCAGCCAAGACACUCGCCAGAAACCAAACUGGAUGUGGUGAAACUGUCAAAUUACUUAAGGAAACUGCAUCGAAACCUCAGGAGGCGAAAAACAGAGAGGGACGACGAGACUCUGUUUUUUUUUUUCUUCAGUGUUUUGCAAAACAAGCAAAGCAAAAUUAUAUUUGGGGAAGAAUUUAUAAUCCAAAGAGGGUUGUCAGUGUGGAGGCCUGUUAGAGAGCAUAUUUGUCAGUGUUCAUUCACCAUGAUUAGGAUGGAGGAUAAAUUCAGCCUUCCUCGUCCAGAUUACUCUGCAAAAUAUUUGUAGUUUAAAGAGUUAUUUAUUGUGGUGCGCCGGUGGCCCGCAGCACUUUCAAGGCGCUGACCAUGAACUGCAUCUUUAGAUUUCAUCCAUAUGACAGAGCUCUGAUAAAGUCUCGAAUGCUUUUUAAAAAGUGAACCUAAGAAAAGCUGAGAAAGUGUAAGUAUGCUGAAAUAAGCCGUUCUGAUUAGUCUACAUUUUGGCGUGAUGGUUUUGUUGGAGAUGAUAUAUGAAUCUGUAUAUUAUGGGGUUUGCUCGACUUCAAACUCCUUGUUUGCAAAGGGAAUUCUUUGCAACAAGCAGCAAUCUGUAUCCGUGUCCAACGGUCCGUUUCACAGUGACACACUGGUCUUUCCUCACAAUACUUUCAUGCACGGUUAGGGAACAAGCAGGGUUUCCAUAAACAAAAAAACAUGAACUUAACUUGCCAUGCGUGGAUAUUGUUUAGCAAGAGUACAUUGUAAUGGAAUAAAUUAAUAGGUUGUCAGGUUAACAAAAUGUUAGGUUAUAGGAGCGCUUCCUGGAAGUGCUCUUUGGAUGGGAUGCAUGUUGAGAAUGAAAAAGCAAAGAAAACUUAGAGGAAUUCUCCUUUUUCUCUCCAUAGGCAGAGAUUGUUUGGCUGCAUUUUUUCAUUUCUGGGGGGGGAAAUGGUACGAAGACCUUGUUCAAACAUCCUGAAGUGUUGCACUAGUUUCUGAAAUUGCCUCAAAAUGUGCGCUAAACUUUAUGAAAACAAGAGGGCUUUUAUUUUGACAUGGCUGCCUGUUAAACUGAUGUAGGAUGUAAUUUAAUUUAAGAGGAAGAUGUAACAUGAACACUCUGUGUUGAGUUGACACGAGGGAUGAAUGAGCUCAAGGGCUGAGUGGCUCAUUAGGCCGCUAUAAAUCACUGCUAUAUGUUUCAAAUAAAGUGUUACCAUUUGUGACGUGUGUGUGUGUGUGUGUGUGUGUGUGUGUGUGUGUGUGUGUGUGUGUGUGUGUGUGUGUGUGUGUGUGUGUGUGUGUGUGUGUGUGUGUGUGUGUGUGUGUGUGUGCGCGCGCGCGUUUGCCCUUGCACCGUUCUCUGGCUCCACUAAGACUCCAUGCCCAGCAGUUAUAGACAGCAGAGACGGCUAUAACUUCCACUGCCUGCACACACACACACACUACCUCCUCCUCACUCCAUAACAAACAGCGAGAGCUUGGGCCCCCAAGGCUUCCUGUAUCCUACACACAGCCAGCAAAUAAACACAAUCACAUUCAUUUAGCCCUACACACACACACACACGCACACACGAAUGACGGCACACAAACACACACAGCACACUGUGAGUGAAGGAGGACUCAGACCAAAUGGGUAACCACUGCUAUUUCUUCCCUCAUUAAGCCACAAUAUUACAAGCUGACACUCUGAGAGGCCUGUGGGCUUGGACUCGGUGUCCCGAGGUUUCCACUGUCGAGGGGUGAACGUCUCCUUCUGUUACAGGAAAGGGGCAACAGAGGAAUCAGAGGAGAUAACCAGCGAUCCCGCAGAGAUUUAAUGUGCAUAUUUGAGAGGCCGAAUCUGGAAAAUCAAGGGAACCAUGUGUCCACAAGAUGAUUAAGGUCACAGAGAAGCGGAUGACUUCUCUUUUGGCAUCUGUCUGUGUGUUUCUUACAAUCAAGUAUUGAAAUUGCAUGAUUUAUUUUUCCACUCGUGUGUAGGUUUUCCUAUAGCAGCAUUUCUGAAUUCAUCACGGCCUACAAUUAUACUGUUAGACACAGUUUUUUUUUGGUGAUUGGACAGUGAUCCUAAAAAAGCACAGUAACCAAGGAUUUUUUUUCUUCUGAACAGUGUAAUAUUCUUAAUUAGCAGAGUCAUCUGAGCUCAAUCUGAAUAAUACAAUAAUUUCAUGGAAAAACAAAUCCCCUUUUGUUAACAGGAAGAAGAUAUGGUGCAGAACAGGCCGAACAGAGAACAACAAAUGAAGUUACCAAGUGUCUGCUGAUGAGUGUGGGUGAGAUACUGUUUAUAAAUCAUUAACCGCAACAAAUCUGCAACCAAUUUUUAAGUGUUUUUAUUCUGGAUUAGAUGAAUAGGACAUUUUGCAUUUUGGGAAAU